AACAAGGGGUAAACUGUCCCAGGUUGCAAAUGGAGUCAGUAAAACUCUCAGGCUGAUCAGUAGUGGGAUAGUACCUGUGAAGAGCCACUGUACUCCAGCCUGGACAACAUAGUGGGACUCUAUCUCU
RNAcentral lists this unclassified non-coding RNA (127 nucleotides) under Homo sapiens (human). Its description in RNAcentral is "misc_RNA-SRP_RNA-related". Lineage: Eukaryota; Metazoa; Chordata; Mammalia; Primates; Hominidae. The record is from RNAcentral.